UACAUGGGGUGCAAACGUUGCUCGGAAUUAUUGGGCGUAAAGCGCGCGUAGGCGGUUACUCAAGUCGGAUGUGAAAGCCCUCGGCUUAACCUGGGAACUGCAUUCGAGACUGCAUUGCUAGAGUAUGGGAGAGGGAAGUGGAAUUUCCGGUGUAGCGGUGAAAUGCGUAGAUAUCGGAAGGAACAUCAGUGGCGAAAGCGACUUCCUGGACCAAUACUGACGCUCAUGUGCGAAAGCGUGGGGAGCAAACAGG
This 253-nucleotide ribosomal RNA is filed under the name uncultured bacterium. RNAcentral describes it as "partial 16S ribosomal RNA". It matches the Rfam family "Bacterial small subunit ribosomal RNA", at positions 524 to 776 of the family's 1533-position model. The record is from RNAcentral.